This is a non-coding RNA of Haemonchus placei, 75 nucleotides long. Lineage: Eukaryota; Metazoa; Nematoda; Chromadorea; Rhabditida; Trichostrongylidae. The record is from Rfam.
GGCACACAUUUGAAGUAGAGUAGAUCAGGAGGUUCAUCUGACCCUGCUAACCUACCAUACUUCGAGUUUGUGCCC